ACCAGCCGCCGCUCACCCCUUCUCUCACAAUGAGUGUUUGAGAUUCCUUAUUUUGCACUAACUUUUAACUUAUUAACUUGUUAAAAGUUAAUAAAUUGAAGAAAAGUGCUUGGCAAAUGGAGAAAAAAAUUUUAAAAUGACUUUUACUUUCCCCUUUCCACUUGAUAAAGUAAAGAGGGUUUCACAAAUUCUUACUUCUCAAAAAAUCCUUUAAAUGACAAAUUCCCCAUUAACCCCUCCACACUAACCUUCUUCAUCUGGAUUCUGGCGCCAACAUCCUCCUCAUUCAUCCCUCCAACUACCCAACAAUUAAGUCACCUGUAUGUAUGUAUGUACGUAUCUUUCUUUCAACCGAUCAAAUCAAACUACUCCAUCUCUCUUCUCAUUAAUCUUCAAUUACUCCCCCAUCUACCACCUUUACAUCUAUCUGCCCUAUAUCAUCUACCAGCAUCAGCAGCUUCAAGUAACAUCAGCGUCUCUCCCUGUUAUCAUUAAGGUUAACAUCAGCUUCAAGUAACACCGGCGGCGCUGUUGCACCGGCGGCGCUGUUGCUCCGGCGGCCUUUCUUCUUCCACAAUCCAACAGCAGGUCGCAUUUACAAAGUGGAAAUUGAAUACAUAUUUCAAAAGAAAGGAAACUUGUAAGCCAUGGCAUUCGAUUUCUAUAUACUUCAUUUGCUUUCAUUUCUAGCACUACGACGUUUCUCUAAGCUUUAAUCAAUGAGAACACUAUCAGAGUUCACUUGUCUGAGUUGCCACAGAGUGGACGCCCCUGUUACUACGCCAUGUGCACUUAAUUUCUGCAUCUCAUGUUUGCCGUAUCAAUCUUCUAAUUCUGAAGCUAGAGUGUUAAGGUCACGAAAGAAUUCUAUGAAAUGUCCCUCAUGUACACUACGGAAAUUUAUGAUUUUUUGUUUAAGCCAUAGGAGAAUACAGAACUAAGGACGCUUAUUGAUUCAUCUCAGAGACAACAAAAAAAUGUUGUUUCUGAAGAUUAUGGCGCAAUAACAUUCAAGACGAGAAAUCCUGAUCAUCACACAAGGAACAUGGUAGGAACAAAGGACUGGCCAUUUUCGUUAUGUGGAAGCAGAUAUUUAUGUUCGUUCAAUUAGGAUACCUAGUACCCUCAGUACCUUUAAAGAAUUUUGUAAUAGUAUCUUCACUAGGAUUAGCCUUAAUGUCAACAAUGAUCAAAGACAUUUCACCUACGCAUCUUAUGUAAGGAACGAAAGCCGAAGGCGCAGAACGGUUAAUUUUCAGAUCUCUGACGAUCCUACUUUUCGUACGUAUUGGAGGACUGUGGGUGCCAACGCACCGGGAUAUGCGAAUCGUCUCUAUUUUGAACUAGUCAAUCCGUAGUUUUUUAUGUGAUAUGUGCCAGAUUCUCCACAUUAUCUCUAUGUAUUUCCUGUUUAUGUUUUUUGAAUUCAAUUUAUUUAAGAAUGUUGAUGUUUAUAUUUUUGACA
Long non-coding RNA from Helianthus annuus (common sunflower), 1465 nucleotides. RefSeq lists it as uncharacterized. The record is from RefSeq and is a predicted model, not a curated record. The transcript has 5 exons. Lineage: Eukaryota; Viridiplantae; Streptophyta; Magnoliopsida; Asterales; Asteraceae.